Molecule: ribosomal RNA, 368 nt
Filed under: uncultured organism
Description: bacterial LSU rRNA
Rfam family: Bacterial large subunit ribosomal RNA
Source: RNAcentral
CUUGACUGUAUCCUGGAAUUGGGUUCGGGCUUUUCUUGCGCAGCCUAGGUGGGAGGCUAUGGAGAUUUCCUUCCGGGGAAGUUGGAGCCAUCAGUGAGAGACCACUCUGGAGAGGCUAGAAUCCUAAUGGUGAUCCUUGAAUCAGGACACUUGACAGUUUCAGGUGGGCAGUUUUUCUGGGGCGGAAGCCUCAUAAAGGGUAACUGAGGCGCGCAAAGGUCCCCUCAGUCUGGACGGAAAUCAGACAACGAGUGUAAGGGCAAAAGGGAGCUUGACUGCAAGACCUACAAGUCGAGCAGGAGCGAAAGCUGGCCUUAGUGAUCCGACGGUACCGUGUGGAAGGGCCGUCGCUCAACGAAUAAAAGUUA